RNAcentral lists this ribosomal RNA (1223 nucleotides) under Bacillus sp. (in: firmicutes). RNAcentral describes it as "bacterial SSU rRNA". It matches the Rfam family "Bacterial small subunit ribosomal RNA", at positions 105 to 1313 of the family's 1533-position model. The record is from RNAcentral. Lineage: Bacteria; Bacillati; Bacillota; Bacilli; Caryophanales; Bacillaceae.
GGUGAGUAACACGUGGGUAACCUGCCUGUAAGACUGGGAUAACUCCGGGAAACCGGGGCUAAUACCGGAUGGUUGUUUGAACCGCAUGGUUCAGACAUAAAAGGUGGCUUCGGCUACCACUUACAGAUGGACCCGCGGCGCAUUAGCUAGUUGGUGAGGUAACGGCUCACCAAGGCGACGAUGCGUAGCCGACCUGAGAGGGUGAUCGGCCACACUGGGACUGAGACACGGCCCAGACUCCUACGGGAGGCAGCAGUAGGGAAUCUUCCGCAAUGGACGAAAGUCUGACGGAGCAACGCCGCGUGAGUGAUGAAGGUUUUCGGAUCGUAAAGCUCUGUUGUUAGGGAAGAACAAGUGCCGUUCAAAUAGGGCGGCACCUUGACGGUACCUAACCAGAAAGCCACGGCUAACUACGUGCCAGCAGCCGCGGUAAUACGUAGGUGGCAAGCGUUGUCCGGAAUUAUUGGGCGUAAAGGGCUCGCAGGCGGUUUCUUAAGUCUGAUGUGAAAGCCCCCGGCUCAACCGGGGAGGGUCAUUGGAAACUGGGGAACUUGAGUGCAGAAGAGGAGAGUGGAAUUCCACGUGUAGCGGUGAAAUGCGUAGAGAUGUGGAGGAACACCAGUGGCGAAGGCGACUCUCUGGUCUGUAACUGACGCUGAGGAGCGAAAGCGUGGGGAGCGAACAGGAUUAGAUACCCUGGUAGUCCACGCCGUAAACGAUGAGUGCUAAGUGUUAGGGGGUUUCCGCCCCUUAGUGCUGCAGCUAACGCAUUAAGCACUCCGCCUGGGGAGUACGGUCGCAAGACUGAAACUCAAAGGAAUUGACGGGGGCCCGCACAAGCGGUGGAGCAUGUGGUUUAAUUCGAAGCAACGCGAAGAACCUUACCAGGUCUUGACAUCCUCUGACAAUCCUAGAGAUAGGACGUCCCCUUCGGGGGCAGAGUGACAGGUGGUGCAUGGUUGUCGUCAGCUCGUGUCGUGAGAUGUUGGGUUAAGUCCCGCAACGAGCGCAACCCUUGAUCUUAGUUGCCAGCAUUCAGUUGGGCACUCUAAGGUGACUGCCGGUGACAAACCGGAGGAAGGUGGGGAUGACGUCAAAUCAUCAUGCCCCUUAUGACCUGGGCUACACACGUGCUACAAUGGACAGAACAAAGGGCAGCGAAACCGCGAGGUUAAGCCAAUCCCACAAAUCUGUUCUCAGUUCGGAUUCGCAGUCUGCAACUC